AAUAGACAUUUAGGAUUCGGCCUGGGUCAAAUAGUCAAUGGAAAGGAGGUUACGUUACUACCCUUUUGGAAGGGAUAUCUUUUUCUCGUCUUCUACGUCUCCUGAAACAUAAACCAGAUCUAAAAAAUCCAAAAGAAAGCUCUUGUUUUCCAUCACUUCUGCACCCUCAGCUUUCUUGUUUUCCAUCCAUGAUUCGAUGUCAAUCUUUGCAUCAUUUACUUCGAUCUGUAACCAAUUUUUUCGAUCCAUAAGUAUUUUAUUUCUAUAAUCUCAAUUGUGAGCCAUCUUUUUCCUUGAAUUUUAAACUGUAACUUUUUAUAUUUCGUCUUGUAACAGUAGAAAAAAGAUGGAAACCCAUUUUUUUUCAUCAUCAGUAAAGAAGAGUAAAACAGGAAUCAACCGUGAAGACGUUUUGAAUCCCCUUUUAUUUCAUCAUUGUCGGUGGAUUUUUCUGUGGUACGAAACAUGAAGUGAAAUCCCUAUUUUUUUUUUAGUAUCAGUUUUCUGGUGGUAUUUGGUUUGAUUUAGUGGUGGUGAUAUUCAGUUUUUGGCUGUAAGAAUCAAAGAAGAUGAACUUGAGAUGUGAUCGAUGGAUGGGUUUGUUUUAGAGAAGAGAAGAAAUUGCAAUCGAACGAUGAAGAAGAUGGUUCCAUGUUGAAUCUGGUGAUGAUAGAUUUUGUUGAUUCGUCUUCUUCUUUGACGAGAUAAAGAGGAGGACAAGAAACUUGUAAUAUUGAAGAGUUCAAAUGCUGUGAACCCUCUAGUACAAGGAGAAUAUUACACCGUCAGUAUAAAUUCAACUACAAUGUAUUUCAUUUCUAUAGAAAUCAUGUCCAUGUUUGUCAGCUAGCACUCGGUUCUUUUGGUGCCUGUUUAACAAAAAGUAGUUCCUGUUGCUAUUUUUGUGAUCAUAUGUAUCGGAAAAAGGCCAAGGUCUGUUUGUGGAGUUUCAUGUUUCAAGUGAAGUGAGAAACCAAAAUUCCUUUCAAUUGAGCAACCAGGGCUGCUCGAUUGAAACCUGGGAGAUUAAUACCUUCAUCAGUUCUUAAAGGUGUUAAAGGCUUAGCCAUUUUGACUGAAGUUGUUGAUAGCACUUGGCCUGGCAGAGAAGGUAGUGAACUGCACGUGGUCUUGUAACUGCUUACAGGGAAGCUGGAAGAAUUUUUCAGUUACAGUGGUUGAAUGUUGUACAAGCUCUGUUUUACGUACUCUGUAUUUUGUUGUACAAGCUCUGUUUUGCUCUGUUUUUUGCUCUGUUUUAAUACUCUGUUUUGCUUGCAAUUAACUCGUAAACAGAGCAAAACAUAGCAAAUUAAUUCUGUUUUUUUUUUGUUGUUGUUGUACUCUGUUUUUUUUAUAGAUUUCUAUGUUCUUCUCCAA
Papaver somniferum (opium poppy) is the source of this 1380-nucleotide long non-coding RNA. RefSeq lists it as uncharacterized. The record is from RefSeq and is a predicted model, not a curated record. Lineage: Eukaryota; Viridiplantae; Streptophyta; Magnoliopsida; Ranunculales; Papaveraceae. The transcript is spliced from 3 exons.